GGGGCUGAAUUUUAAGCUCGACAUGGGAUGUUAACAGUUAGAUCAGCAGGCCGCUUAUCAGCGUUAUAGAUAUUCUGAUUAGAUGCAGAAAAAACAUCUUUCGGUGAAGCCGUAGCCAAUGCACUAGCACGCCGCGACUUUGCCUUUGCUGCCUAAUUACUUAGACAGCCACGUUCGUUCUGGACACCAGAUACGGAACAUUCGUGACAUAUACUUCUGGUUGCUUCUGAAGCCCCGGUCCAGCUUCAGCGUAAGCCUUUGGACCAACCCAAUCGAGUGUUUUGGUCGUCUUCAGCUCGGUCGGUAUCUAGACGACCUAUGCCUGUAGGAUAGACUAGCUAGUUAACCUUAUGGACGCGGGGGCAGUACCCGCCAGCUCCACCA
Molecule: transfer-messenger RNA, 384 nt
Filed under: Candidatus Saccharimonadota bacterium
Lineage: Bacteria; Candidatus Saccharimonadota
Rfam family: transfer-messenger RNA
About the family: Bacterial tmRNA, also known as 10Sa RNA or SsrA, is named for its dual tRNA and mRNA-like properties. Its role is to liberate the mRNA from a stalled ribosome.
Source: RNAcentral